This 252-nucleotide ribosomal RNA is filed under the name uncultured bacterium. RNAcentral's name for it is "partial 16S ribosomal RNA". It matches the Rfam family "Bacterial small subunit ribosomal RNA", at positions 524 to 776 of the family's 1533-position model. The record is from RNAcentral.
UACGUAGGUCCCGAGCGUUGUCCGGAUUUAUUGGGCGUAAAGCGAGCGCAGGUGGUUUAUUAAGUCUGGUGUAAAAGGCAGUGGCUCAACCAUUGUAUGCAUUGGAAACUGGUAGACUUGAGCGCAGGAGAGGAGAGUGGAAUUCCAUGUGUAGCGGUGAAAUGCGUAGAUAUAUGGAGGAACACCGGUGGCGAAAGCGGCUCUCUGGCCUGUAACUGACACUGAGGCUCGAAAGCGUGGGGAGCAAACAGG